UCGGAAUGGAGUAGCUGUCCAGACUGUUGU
RNAcentral lists this non-coding RNA (30 nucleotides) under Rattus norvegicus (Norway rat). Lineage: Eukaryota; Metazoa; Chordata; Mammalia; Rodentia; Muridae. The record is from RNAcentral.